AUUGAACGCUGGCGGCAUGCCUUACACAUGCAAGUCGAACGGCAGCGGACCUUUGGGUGCCGGCGAGUGGCGAACGGGUGAGUAAUGCAUCGGAACGUGCCAUUGAGUGGGGGAUAACGUAGCGAAAGUUACGCUAAUACCGCAUAUUCUGUGAGCAGGAAAGCAGGGGACCGCAAGGCCUUGCGCUCUUUGAGCGGCCGAUGUCAGAUUAGCUAGUUGGUGAGGUAAAGGCUUACCAAGGCGACGAUCUGUAGCGGGUCUGAGAGGAUGAUCCGCCACACUGGAACUGAGACACGGUCCAGACUCCUACGGGAGGCAGCAGUGGGGAAUUUUGGACAAUGGGCGCAAGCCUGAUCCAGCCAUGCCGCGUGAGUG
RNAcentral lists this ribosomal RNA (375 nucleotides) under uncultured bacterium. RNAcentral describes it as "bacterial SSU rRNA". It matches the Rfam family "Bacterial small subunit ribosomal RNA", at positions 30 to 407 of the family's 1533-position model. The record is from RNAcentral.